Molecule: long non-coding RNA, 1854 nt
Filed under: Homo sapiens (human)
Lineage: Eukaryota; Metazoa; Chordata; Mammalia; Primates; Hominidae
Description: HSALNT0326897
Source: RNAcentral
CCAGGGAGAUGGAAUCACAAAUGCAAAGAUUCCGAGGUGGAAGCAUGCUUGCUUUGUUCCGGGAACACAAGGAAGUCAGUGUGUCUAGAGGGGUGCACAGGGAGUGGCACGGCAAAGGGAAUUGCCCCUCAGGAGCAGAGGGUUAUGUCAGAGGGGAGGCGCGAACCAGGUCGCAUAGCACAUUCUAGGAUGUAAUGAGUGUGGAUUCUAUGUUGCCAUGGGAAGCCAGCAUCCUUGCACGAGGUGGUUAAGUGCUGAGAGAAGAUAAAUCAGAUUAAGGGGCUAGAGAGAGACUGGAAGCCUGGGGAAGCUAUUUGAAACAAACGGGCAGAGGAGCUCUCUCUGAGGAAGUGACUUUAGGGCUGAGUCUUGAAAUAUCUGAAGUAGCGACCAUGCAGAUUUCUGGGAUAAGCCAGUUCCAGGCAGAAAAAAUAGCACUGAAGUGGGAAUAAGCAUCACAUAUCCUGGAAAGAGCAAGAAGGUCAGCGUGGCCAGGGCACAAUACCAGAGGAAGCAGGGGGAGGAGGCCAGCCCUGUGGAGGCCGUGGGACGGUACUUGGCUUUUAUUCUAAAUACACUGGGAAGAUUUUCGAGGACUCUUGCUUGUUUUUCGAGGGAACUGGCUGAAAACCCAGUAGAUUUUGGUGGCUGUUCUUGACUAAGAAGAGUGUGGAACAAAGUCACAGAGCCACGGCCCCAGACAAGACCUGGAUGAAGCGCUACAGCCUGGUAGUGCCAAGACUGGGAGGGAAACAGAAGAGCACUAUGAGACAGAAUCCAGAAGCAAGGAGAGGAAGGAAAGGCCUUGGACCCCCUAAGGAGAAGGAGGGUAAACACACAGGAGCAGGAUUGCUGGGUCAUAUGGUUCUAUAGUUUCCUUAGAGCAACGAGGUGGAGUGUGUUUCUUUCAUCUGACCCCAUAUUCUUUGAGCCAAUUCAAAGAAGGGCAUAGGACCUGAUAUAUGGAACCAUCUUAUCUUCCACCAUCACUAUCAUUCCAUCUCCAUGAGCUUAUCUUCCACCACCACUCCAUCUCCAUGAUUUCCAUAGAGAUCCCCUGCAGAAUGCACAUUUUUCCCCCUGGAUUGCAAAUAAUCUGAACCAGGGUAAAACCAUUACAAAGUGGCCUUCAAACAUCAUGUCUGUAUUGGAACUGAAUGAUUGAUCAGACAUUUAAAUACGGAAACUGGGAAUUCAGCUGACCAGAAUUUCACCAGGGUGACAUGACAGUUUGUUGCUAAGGAACUGAAGACUAUGUCAUAAGUGAGCAUUCUGAUGAAGAGGAGUGAACAGUUUGCAGCAGAUUGGAUAUUAAGUAUAAAUCAGCUCUCUGUGUAUGUCCUUGUGUGGUGGUAUAACUGACAACAGGUAGGGUUCCUGAUGGGAUUGGGUUCCACCAAUCAGAGCCACUUGCAUGAGACCUCAACUGAGAGCCAGGUGUUUGAAGAGGAGGGGCUCACUCUAAAUCUUGAAGAUGUUCAGCCUCGAAAAAGUAGAAGUCAUUGUGACCAAAGAUGAUGCCACCAUGCCUUUGAAAAAGAAAGGUGAUGAGCCUCAAAUGGAAAAAUACAUUCAAGAAAGGUCAAUGCUAAGAAAUAAAGAGAAAGAUGAAGAAAGGAUCACAUAAAGCUGAUGGGAAGAGAAUAAGGUGGACAUAGUAAGACAUCUGAGGCUGAAAAGGGAGGAAGUAGCAAGUGCACAGGAUGGAGCAGAGCAUGGGAAGAGCAUGGACCCAGCCCUGUGCCCCUAGGCUGGGUCAGCUCGGGGCUUCCAUUUCCUCCUCUGUAAAAUAUCUGCCUUUCAGGAUUAGUAAAAGGAUUAAAUAAAAUAAUAACCUCGUACAGAUCCUGGAAA